Molecule: small RNA, 126 nt
Filed under: Marmota monax (woodchuck)
Lineage: Eukaryota; Metazoa; Chordata; Mammalia; Rodentia; Sciuridae
Source: RNAcentral
GCUGGGUAUUGUGGUGCAUGCCUGUAAUCCUAGCAGCUCAGGAGGCUGAGGCAGGAGGAGUACAGAUUCAAAGCCAACCUAGCAACUUAGUGAGGCUGUAAGCAACCUCAUGAGACCCUGUCUCAA